This is a long non-coding RNA of Gigantopelta aegis, 515 nucleotides long. RefSeq lists it as uncharacterized. The record is from RefSeq and is a predicted model, not a curated record. Lineage: Eukaryota; Metazoa; Mollusca; Gastropoda; Neomphalida; Peltospiridae. The transcript is spliced from 4 exons.
GUUUUACAUUAGGUCUCUUUGUGGCUCUAGUUUGUUUCUGGUUAUUUUGCACGAAUUGCAUAGUUUUCAGAUAUCUCCAGAUAUGAGGAAUGCAAUGCUAGCGUUAGUUAUCUUACUUGGUUUGCUUGCUUUUGUCAACUGUUCGUGUGACUUCUUCGGGAGACAUUCAGUUUGAUAAAUCAAAACAUUGUCGCAAAUACAGGACGUUUGUAAAGUGUACAUCAGACGCAGGAUGCAGCAGCGAUGCUCGCUUCAAGAAGGGAAUAGAUAUAGCAAACUGUAUCUUAAGUGUAGCAUUGUUUGGCAGCACGAAUUACAUCACCCACCACUAAAGAACACGGUGAUUAAACAGGAAAAAGAAAUACAUGUUACCAGAAGCAUUCUACAAAUAUUCAAGAACAUUUUCCGCUAAUAUUUUAGAUAUUUAUAAAAGAUAUUUGGAAGAGAUAAUAAGCCGCUGCCAUUUUAUGUUAAUGUCUUUGUGUGUGUGUGUGUGUGUGUGUGUGUGGUGCGUG